UUGACAAAGGCAAAUCCAUCGAAAGGUGGAGACGCAAAACUACAGGGGUUAAGGCGACACAAGGUCGCUAUGCCAGCCAGUUACCGA
Molecule: non-coding RNA, 87 nt
Filed under: uncultured Paenibacillus sp.
Lineage: Bacteria; Bacillati; Bacillota; Bacilli; Caryophanales; Paenibacillaceae
Description: Cyclic di-GMP-I riboswitch
Rfam family: c-di-GMP-I riboswitch aptamer
About the family: GEMM was predicted in a large-scale screen for bacterial structured RNA regulatory elements. Genes associated with GEMM are involved in a diverse array of functions, including chemotaxis regulation, signal transduction, secretion and chitin.
Source: RNAcentral